ACGAGCUGUGAAGUUUCGGAUGGAUGCACUUAGUGGCGGACGGGUGAGUAACGCGUGGGUACCUGCCUCACACUGGGGGAUAACAGUUAGAAAUAGCUGCUAAUACCGCAUAAGUCCGCAUGGAAAAAACUCCGGUGGUGUGAGAUGGAUCCGCGUCUGAUUAGCCAGUUGGCGGGGUAACGGCCCACCAAAGCGACGAUCAGUAGCCGACCUGAGAGGGUGACCGGCCACAUUGGGACUGAGACACGGCCCAAACUCCUACGGGAGGCAGCAGUGGGGAAUAUUGCACAAUGGGCGAAAGCCUGAUGCAGCGACGCCGCGUGAGUGAAGAAGUAUCUCGGUAUGUAAAGCUCUAUCAGCAGGGAAGAAAUGACGGUACCUGACUAAGAAGCCCCGGCUAACUACGUGCCAGCAGCCGCGGUAAUACGUAGGGGGCAAGCGUUAUCCGGAUUUACUGGGUGUAAAGGGAGCGUAGACGGCGUGGCAAGCCAGAUGUGAAAGCCCGGGGCUCAACCCCGGGACUGCAUUUGGAACUGUCAGGCUAGAGUGUCGGAGAGGAAAGCGGAAUUCCUAGUGUAGCGGUGAAAUGCGUAGAUAUUAGGAGGAACACCAGUGGCGAAGG
RNAcentral lists this ribosomal RNA (622 nucleotides) under uncultured bacterium. RNAcentral's name for it is "bacterial SSU rRNA". It matches the Rfam family "Bacterial small subunit ribosomal RNA", at positions 66 to 721 of the family's 1533-position model. The record is from RNAcentral.